UACGUAGGAGGCGAGCGUUGUCCGGAGUUACUGGGCGUAAAGCGCACGCAGGCGGUCAGAUCAGUCUGGAGUGACAGUCGUCGGCUUAACCGACGAAGUGUUCUGGAAACUGUCUGACUUGAGGGCUUCAGAGGGACACGGAAUUCCGGGUGGAGUGGUGAAAUGCGUAGAGAUCCGGAGGAACACCAAAGGCGAAGGCAGUGUCCUGGGGAGUACCUGACGCUC
Molecule: ribosomal RNA, 225 nt
Filed under: uncultured bacterium
Lineage: Bacteria
Description: partial 16S ribosomal RNA
Rfam family: Bacterial small subunit ribosomal RNA
Source: RNAcentral